GGAUCCAGACUUUGUUAUGGCUCAGGACGAACGCUGGCGGCGUGCUUAACACAUGCAAGUCGAACGGAGCACCCUUGAUUGAGGUUUCGGCCAAAUGAUAGGAAUGCUUAGUGGCGGACUGGUGAGUAACGCGUGAGGAACCUGCCUUUCAGAGGGGGACAACAGUUGGAAACGACUGCUAAUACCGCAUGACGCAUUUUGAUCGCAUGGUCGAAAUGCCAAAGAUUUAUCGCUGAAAGAUGGCCUCGCGUCUGAUUAGAUAGUUGGCGGGGUAACGGCCCACCAAGUCGACGAUCAGUAGCCGGACUGAGAGGUUGACCGGCCACAUUGGGACUGAGAUACGGCCCAGACUCCUACGGGAGGCAGCAGUGGGGAAUAUUGGGCAAUGGGCGCAAGCCUGACCCAGUAACGCCGCGUGAAGGAAGAAGGCUUUCGGGUUGUAAACUUCUUUUAAGUGGGAAGAGCAGAAGACGGUACCACUUGAAUAAGCCACGGCUAACUACGUGCCAGCAGCCGCGGUAAUACGUAGGUGGCAAGCGUUGUCCGGAUUUACUGGGUGUAAAGGGCGUGCAGCCGGGCAUGCAAGUCAGAUGUGAAAUCUCA
RNAcentral lists this ribosomal RNA (603 nucleotides) under uncultured Bacillota bacterium. RNAcentral's name for it is "bacterial SSU rRNA". It matches the Rfam family "Bacterial small subunit ribosomal RNA", at positions 1 to 604 of the family's 1533-position model. The record is from RNAcentral. Lineage: Bacteria; Bacillati; Bacillota.